GACGAACGCUGGCGGCGUGCUUAACACAUGCAAGUCGAACGGAAAGGCCCGGCUUUUGUGCGUUUCUCGAUUGGCGAACAGGUGAGUAACACGCGUGUAACCUGCCCUUGUCUUUGUGAUAACUUCUGGAAACUGCGGCGAAUACCGGGGAGAAUCUCUUGCUGCGUGGUGGUGAUUGGAAAGUGUCGGCUUUGGUGGCUGUACUCGCUGGUUAUCAGCUUGUUGGUGGGGUAGUGGCGUACCACGGCUUUGAGGGGUAGCCGGCAUGAGAGGGUGACCGGGCACAUGGGGCCUGCGAUACGGAGCAGACUCCUACCGGAGGCAGCAGGGGGGAAUAUUGCAGAAUGGGCGGACGCCUGAUGCAGCAACGCCGCGUGCGGGAUGCCGGCCUUCGAGUUGUAAACAGAUGUCGAAUGUGACGAAGAGUGAGUGACGGUAAUGGGUAAAGAAGCCACGGCUAACUACGUG
This 468-nucleotide ribosomal RNA is filed under the name uncultured bacterium. Its description in RNAcentral is "partial 16S ribosomal RNA". It matches the Rfam family "Bacterial small subunit ribosomal RNA", at positions 28 to 507 of the family's 1533-position model. The record is from RNAcentral.